GAGAUGGAUGGAAAGCCAGUAAGUGCUAAGAAUCCAACAUCCUUUCUCUUGUCAAAGAAUGCAUUCUUCAUCCUAGCGAGAUAGUGCAGUGGUGUCCCUCUUUAGGCCAGACUGACCGUAUGAGUCAACCAAUCAGAUUGUUACUUGCGUCUCGUUUAUUUUUUCACGGUUUUCUUUUCACUGCAGGAUUCAAGCACACCACUUGACCCCAAACUCUAUUCUUCAUAUUGCCAUCUUCGUCCACUUGUGCGUAGCUUUUUUGGGCAUCGAGCACCAUUUCAAUUUGUUCCAGCAUUUGUUUCAUCUCAAGCCCCAACCCAGUGCCAAUGAAAUCACCGAAUUUGUUUAUCGAGUUUCUCUAUUUUUCCUCUCUUUUUUGUCUCAGCCCAAAACAAACAAAGCAAAGGGUUGAGGCUAACAGGGAUGAUGAUGGGGCAGGUACUGAUGUACCCUCUGCCCCAGUGGUCCUGUCAAGUGGUACCGAAGCCACCCAACCGCAACCGAGCACACCAUCGAGUGGUCAAGUUAUGACACCGCAACCGCAGUCUGAGCUGGUGAGUGGUGUUGAUGAAGCCUCCACACAGCACAAAAUGCCUGGAGGAGGCAAGGGAGAUGAAAGCGCCAAGCAAGGGCAAUCAGCACCCUCUGCUGGCGGAAAGGCAACAUCGAGUGCCUUGGUAGCCUUAUUGGUACCAAGAUUGCUCAAAACAAGGAAAAUAACAGUGAGGAAGUCCAACUGCAAAGCAGCCGAUUUUGGGUUGGGGGAGCCGAGCAAGGCCACCGCUGCCCCAUCCCCCAAUCCUGUACCAGCACAUCAGGCGCCAAUAUCGCAGGACCAGGUUGAAACUAAUCGUAGUCGACUUGAUGAUUCUGCGACCAUGGUGGAGGGGCCUCACCAAGGAGAAGCAAUGGCAGCACCUGAAGGGGGUGAUGCUUUGUUAAUGGUUAAAGGACCAAAAAUCCCAACAUGUAAGCCCAUUUUGCCGCCUCCUUUGGAUUGCAGCCAUAUCCCACUUACUCGACUUGUGCACCUAGAUGGGAUAUCAGGCGUAUGAGGAAUAUGAGGAAUGCCAUAAAUUCCUAGCUGAACUGGCCAACCAAGCAGCAACAAAAACCCAGGAACUAAAAGCAGUUGAAGAGGGACUCCUGCUAGUGGUCGACAAGGAGCUCCAACUUGAUCUGGAGAUGCAAGAAGUCAUUGCUCUCUGCAGUGAACUUGAAAAGAUUAAGCUUGAGCACGACCGAGAGAACCAGCUCUUGAAAGAGGAAGUAUCGAAACUUGCAAAGGACAAGAAGACUCUCGAAGAGAGAAACAAGUCGUUGUAGGAGAAAAACAAAUCGAUUGCAAAGAAUCACAAAGAUGAAUUGGAGAAUUUUGACAAGAUGCUGAGAGAUGCUGACAAACAGCUCAUCGAGUCCAUGCAACAAAUCAAGACCAUGGCCGAGGCUCGAGGAGAAGGAUCUUCGGGACAAGGAACUUGACAAGCCGAAGGCUGUUGCACAGGCUAUUGUCGACAUGGUGGAUCCACCCGAGAAUGGCGUGGGGCAGGCCAAGACUCUGUUGGAGCGGCUGCAAGGAACUCCACAGAAGAUCGUUAGUAUUUCUCGGACACCACCCGGCAAUAUGUGUCACAUGUACUAGGACUGGUAAAGACCUAUUGGCUGCAUGCGAUCUUGACUCCGCUAGGAGAAGACAUGGCAUUGAAUGCACUGAAGAGAAAUUUGACGAGCUCCUAGAGGAGGUGAAACCUGUGGCCAAUAGGAUAGUUGACAGCCUGAAGCAGGAUGCCGAAGCAUGAAUAGUUUGGUCGGACCAACUGUGAACUAGUAAACAAUGAUCUUAUUGUACCAUGUUUGUGUAUACAUGAAUACAGUUUUUAUGAUUGUAGUAAACUCCUGUCGAUGUGUGCAAA
Panicum virgatum (switchgrass) is the source of this 1913-nucleotide long non-coding RNA. RefSeq lists it as uncharacterized. The transcript is spliced from 4 exons. NCBI's taxonomy places the organism in Eukaryota, Viridiplantae, Streptophyta, Magnoliopsida, Poales, Poaceae. The record is from RefSeq and is a predicted model, not a curated record.